Molecule: ribosomal RNA, 301 nt
Filed under: uncultured bacterium
Lineage: Bacteria
Description: partial 16S ribosomal RNA
Rfam family: Bacterial small subunit ribosomal RNA
Source: RNAcentral
CAGCCGCCACGGUAAUACGUAGGGUGCAAGCGUUAAUCGGAAUUACUGGGCGUAAAGCGUGCGCAGGCGGUUAUAUAAGACAGAUGUGAAAUCCCCGGGCUCAACCUGGGAACUGCAUUUGUGACUGUAUAGCUAGAGUACGGCAGAGGGGGAUGGAAUUCCGCGUGUAGCAGUGAAAUGCGUAGAUAUGCGGAGGAACACCGAUGGCGAAGGCAAUCCCCUGGGCCUGUACUGACGCUAAUGCACGAAAGCGUGGGGGGCAAACAGGAUUAGAUACCCCGGUAGUCCCUGUCUCUUAUAA